CUGGUGGAUCCUSCCAGUAGUCAUAKGCUUGUUUCAAAGAUUAAGCCAUGCAUGUCUAAGUCCCACCCUCACUAAGGGGAAMCCGCGAAUGGUCCAUUAAAUCCCACCUAAUGUACUGGAUAGUUUCAGUUCCUUGGAUAACUGCGGUAAUUCUGGAGUUAAUCCAUGGCCCCAACCCCCGCCCUACGGAGGGGCGCUUUUAUUAGAUCAAAACCAAACGGCUCGCGCCGUCUUUCUGGUGAUUCUGAAUAACUUUGGGCUGAUCGCAUGGCCUCGCGCCGGCGACGUAUCCUUCCAAGGUGUGCC
RNAcentral lists this ribosomal RNA (306 nucleotides) under Paracyclopina nana. RNAcentral describes it as "bacterial SSU rRNA". It matches the Rfam family "Eukaryotic small subunit ribosomal RNA", at positions 4 to 313 of the family's 1831-position model. Lineage: Eukaryota; Metazoa; Arthropoda; Copepoda; Cyclopoida; Cyclopettidae. The record is from RNAcentral.